AUUGAACGCUGGCGGCAGGCCUAACACAUGCCAGUCGAGCGGAUGAGAGGAGCUUGCUCCUUGAUUUAGCGGCGGACGGGUGAGUAAUGCCUAGGAAUCUGCCUGGUAGUGGGGGAUAACGUUCCGAAAGGAACGCUAAUACCGCAUACGUCCUACGGGAGAAAGCAGGGGACCUUCGGGCCUUGCGCUAUCAGAUGAGCCUAGGUCGGAUUAGCUAGUUGGUGAGGUAAUGGCUCACCAAGGCGACGAUCCGUAACUGGUCUGAGAGGAUGAUCAGUCACACUGGAACUGAGACACGGUCCAGACUCCUACGGGAGGCAGCAGUGGGGAAUAUUGGACAAUGGGCGAAAGCCUGAUCCAGCCAUGCCGCGUGUGUGAAGAAGGUCUUCGGAUUGUAAAGCACUUUAAGUUGGGAGGAAGGGCAGUAAGCUAAUACCUUGCUGUUUUGACGUUACCGACAGAAUAAGCACCGGCUAACUUCGUG
This 484-nucleotide ribosomal RNA is filed under the name uncultured bacterium. RNAcentral's name for it is "partial 16S ribosomal RNA". It matches the Rfam family "Bacterial small subunit ribosomal RNA", at positions 30 to 507 of the family's 1533-position model. The record is from RNAcentral.